This 520-nucleotide ribosomal RNA is filed under the name uncultured bacterium. Its description in RNAcentral is "bacterial SSU rRNA". It matches the Rfam family "Bacterial small subunit ribosomal RNA", at positions 8 to 520 of the family's 1533-position model. The record is from RNAcentral.
AGAGUUUGAUCCUGGCUCAGAAUGAACGCUGGCGGCGUGCCUAACACAUGCAAGUCGUACGAGAAAUCCCGAGCUUGCUUGGGAGAGUAAAGUGGCGCACGGGUGAGUAACGCGUGGGUAACCCACCCAUUCGAAUCUGGGAUAACUCCGCGAAAGCGGUGCUAAUACCGGAUAAGACCACAGCCGUUUCGGCGGCAGAGGUAAAAGCUGACCUCUCCAUGGAAGUUAGCGUUCGAGGACGGGCCCGCGUCCUAUCAGCUCUUGUUGGUGGGGUAAUGGCCUACCAAGGCAGCGACGGGUAGCUGGUCUGAGAGGAUGAUCAGCCACACUGGAACUGGAACACGGUCCAGACUCCUACGGGAGGCAGCAGUGAGGAAUUUUGCGCAAUGGGGGGGAAACCCUGACGCAGCAAUGCCGCGUGGGUGAAGAAGGCUUUCGGGUCGUAAACCCCUUUCAGGAGGGAAGAAAUUGACGGUACCUCCAAAAGAAGCACCGGCCAACUACGUGCCAGCAGCCGCGG